Molecule: ribosomal RNA, 439 nt
Filed under: uncultured bacterium
Lineage: Bacteria
Description: partial 16S ribosomal RNA
Rfam family: Bacterial small subunit ribosomal RNA
Source: RNAcentral
CCUACGGGGGGCUGCAGUGAGGAAUCUUCCACAAUGGGCGAAAGCCUGAUGGAGCGACACCGCGUGAAGGAUGAAGCCUUUGUUGGUGUAAACUUCUUUUCUCUGGGAAGAUAAUGACGGUACCAGAGGAAUAAGGGGCGGCAAACUAUGUGCCAGCAGCCGCGGUAAUACAUAGUCCCCAAGCGUUAUCCGGAAUUACUGGGCGUAAAGAGGCUGUAGGUGGUCUUGCAAUUCUCGUGUGAAACUCCAGGGCGCAACUCUGGAUUGCACGGGAAAUUAUGAGACUUGAGUACGGGAGAGGCAAGCAGAACGGUAUGAGUAGGAGUGCAAUCCGUUGAUACAUACAAGAAUACCAAAAGCGAAGGAAGCUUGCUGGAACGUUACUGACACUGAGAGACGAAAGCGUGGGGAGCGAAAGGGAUUAGAUACCCCUGUAGUC